RNAcentral lists this unclassified non-coding RNA (716 nucleotides) under uncultured cyanobacterium. RNAcentral describes it as "partial contains 16S ribosomal RNA, 16S-23S ribosomal RNA intergenic spacer, and 23S ribosomal RNA". The stretch from base 1 to 112 matches the Rfam family "Bacterial small subunit ribosomal RNA", at positions 1423 to 1533 of the family's 1533-position model. The record is from RNAcentral. Lineage: Bacteria; Bacillati; Cyanobacteriota.
GAAGUCGUUACUUCAACCCUUGUGGAGGAGGACGCCGAAGGUGGGGCUAAUGACUGGGGUGAAGUCGUAACAAGGUAGCCGUACCGGAAGGUGCGGCUGGAUCACCUCCUAACAGGGAGACAACAAAAUGUAAAUAUUAAUUUUGUCACCUUAGGUCGAUCGGUAUCUCAGAUUCUUAAUUAUUUAAGAAUUUCAGUUUCUAAGUUUUUUCUAGGUCACACCCAUCACUUUUUCCUGGGCCAUUAGCUCAGGUGGUUAGAGCGCACCCCUGAUAAGGGUGAGGUCCCUGGUUCAAGUCCAGGAUGGCCCAUAUCUCUAUGUUGGGGGUAUAGCUCAGUUGGUAGAGCGCCUGCUUUGCAAGCAGGAUGUCAGCGGUUCGAGUCCGCUUACCUCCACUGAAUACCACCUCUUACAUAUUGUUGAAGUGGGAAAUUGUUUUGAGUCGUGUCCUAAUUUGCUCUGAGCGAAUCUAGCUUCCUAUUUUAUCCAAGAAAUAAGAUGCUGGACUCAUUGAAUUUUUUUUCAUUGUUUUCAGAGAACCUUGACAACUGCAUAGAUUAUUUUUAAAGACAAUAGGCAUCUUUAAUGAUGCAGAUUUAUUAUUUGUGCGAAUGCAUUAAAUAACAAUUCUAUUAAGCUGAUGCUUCAAUUAUUGAAGUUAUUGGUCAAGCUACAAAGGGCUCACGGAGGAUACCUAGGCACACAGAGGCGAUGAA